CUGGCUCAGGAUGAACGCUAGCGGCAGGCCUAAUACAUGCAAGUCGAACGGUGUAGCAAUACAUAGUGGCGCACGGGUGCGUAACACGUAUGCAACCUACCUUAUA
This 106-nucleotide ribosomal RNA is filed under the name Arcicella aurantiaca. RNAcentral's name for it is "partial 16S ribosomal RNA". It matches the Rfam family "Bacterial small subunit ribosomal RNA", at positions 19 to 135 of the family's 1533-position model. Lineage: Bacteria; Pseudomonadati; Bacteroidota; Cytophagia; Cytophagales; Flectobacillaceae. The record is from RNAcentral.